RNAcentral lists this long non-coding RNA (2068 nucleotides) under Homo sapiens (human). RNAcentral's name for it is "HSALNT0407168". Lineage: Eukaryota; Metazoa; Chordata; Mammalia; Primates; Hominidae. The record is from RNAcentral.
AUAAUGAGUAGAAUUAAAAUGUCAGAAUUUGAGAGGUAGAACUACCCUAGGUUUCAUUUAGCACAACGAAAACAUGUCAUAAAUAAAUACAAAUGAUAAGUGAUUUGCCCAGUGUCAUAAAGAUACUUAGUGGCAGAAGAAAAUUUUAACUCCAAAUUUCUGACCUCUUUUUCUGUUCCAUAAUACUCCUAUAUUUUGAGUAUGAAAUUUUGAAUAAAUAUGAGGCUAAGACACAUUUGUUAAUUUCUCUUAAUGUGCAAUCAGGAAAUUGAAAUAAGGGCUUUCAAUAAGCAAACACAGCUCCUAGUAACAUGACCAAAGAGCCUUAUAAUACUUUUACCAUGAUGUGGUAUCCAUACCUCCCCAGCUUAUUUUCUUUGGAUCUCAAAAUGGAUACUUUGCCUGUCUCCUAUUGCUAUUAAUUGCCACAUACAUCUCUUUGUGUGAUUUGCUUGGCAGCCCUGAAAACAGCUGGCUGUCUGGUUGGAUCAGUCCCCCGUGGCAAACUCAGGACUCUGCGUUCCCAGUACUGGCUCACAGAAUCUGGUUGAAUCACCCACAGCAUGAUGCACUAGGAAGGCCCUGGCCCUCACCAGAUCCCAGUGCCAUGCUCUUGGACUUCUCAGCCUGCAAAACGGACUGCUUACUUUUUAAUGGAUUGCUGGACAUUAUGCAGAACACACUGUGAAAUAAUUUGCAUCACUGGAUGAUGUACUCUUGAGGGAAUUUACAUUGAUUCUGGCAGGCAGUGAUAUUCAAGAAUCUGAAGCCCCUUACCUUAAUGUGUGUGAUGAGAUUGACAGGAAAAGGAAGCUGGACUUGUGAGGAUGGAAGGGAUCUGAGAAGACCGGAAGAACAAUGGUGAAGUAAAGUAGAAAAAGUGAGAACACUGGGUGGUCCAGUCUGAUGGAGAUUCAUCUGGAUGCAAAAUGUGAAGACAAGCCUUCAGUUCCCUUCUUGACCACCAGCAUGGAACUAAACAAUUAAACCUGUCAGAAAAAAAAAAGCUGCUGUAUUUUAAGGUAACAGAGACAUGGACUUUUUAAGGUAACAGAGACAUGGACUUGAGAAGACAACUUGGCUCAAUUCCUAGCUCUGCAACUUACUUACUAGGUUUGUGUCUUUGGACUGCAUCCUAACAAACAACUGUGUCAAGACAUUUGAACAGCAUAUUCUACACAAAUAAAAAGGAAAUGAUAAAGAUAAAAGAAAUUAAUAGAAUGGAAAGUGAUGGAGAUAAACAAGUGAAAAGAUGGUCCUUUGAAAAGACUAAAACAUGGCCAAUGCACUGGCAAGAAUGAUUGGGACAAUAAACAAAAUAUAUAUGCCAGGGCAGCUCCCGGCGAGAUCGACGCAAAAGAUGCCAUCAAAGUUAACCAAUUUCAACCAUUAAUUUAUUCCAUAGUGCUCAUGAAGUUUUACACAGUGCCAUAUUGAGAAGCAAGACAUCUGAUGAUGGAGCAGAGUUCCUUUGUGACUAGAAGAGAUAAAAUCCUUAUAAAAUGCAGAAGACUUGUCAAAAUUAUUUUUUAUCUUAUACUAAAUUAUAGUCUGUAAAGAAAAUCCACACAGAGUAAAAGAUAAACGGUAUGACUUAGGCACAAAGUCAAUUACAUCAUGAAUACAAAGAAAUUCAUUAAUAUUAUUACUGAAUUCCAUAGUAAAUAUGAAGUGGUCAGAUAUGCUGCAUAGGGGGAUGCAACUGACUGGUAGUUUUCUCCUCUAAAUUUGUUGUACUUUUCUCCCUGGUCAUAUAGGCUAACCCAAUUGAAGACAAUAUUCCCAGCCUCCUUUGUAGGUAGCCAUGUUUGGACACUCAACUAAAUUCUUGCUAAUAAAAUAUAAGCGUAAACAAUUUUUUCUGAAUCUGAACUUUCCCUAUUUCCUAUUCCCUUUUGGUUAAAGCCAAAUGAGGCAGUGAACAACUAUGACCAUGCAGAAGAAAUCUAUAUGCUAGGGAAUGAUGCUACACCAGUGUCGAAAGUAUCUACACCACUGUAUACCAUGAUUGAGCUGAGCCACACCUUUAGCCUAUUGAGCUCAUCUGAGAAAUAAAUAUGCUUUUGUC